UAGGGAAUCUUCGGCAAUGGACGAAAGUCUGACCGAGCAACGCCGCGUGAGUGAAGAAGGUUUUCGGAUCGUAAAACUCUGUUGUUAGAGAAGAACAAGGACGUUAGUAACUGAACGUCCCCUGACGGUAUCUAACCAGAAAGCCACGGCUAACUACGUGCCAGCAGCCGCGGUAAUACGUAGGUGGCAAGCGUUGUCCGGAUUUAUUGGGCGUAAAGCGAGCGCAGGCGGUUUCUUAAGUCUGAUGUGAAAGCCCCCGGCUCAACCGGGGAGGGUCAUUGGAAACUGGGAGACUGGAGUGCAGAAGAGGAGAGUGGAAUUCCAUGUGUAGCGGUGAAAUGCGUAGAUAUAAGGAGGAACACCAGUGGCGAAGGCGGCUCUCUGGUCUGUAACUGACGCUGAGGCUCGAAGGCGUGGGGAGCAAACAGG
This 429-nucleotide ribosomal RNA is filed under the name Gemmatimonadota bacterium. RNAcentral's name for it is "Gemmatimonadetes bacterium partial 16S ribosomal RNA". It matches the Rfam family "Bacterial small subunit ribosomal RNA", at positions 355 to 776 of the family's 1533-position model. The record is from RNAcentral. Lineage: Bacteria; Pseudomonadati; Gemmatimonadota.